This is a long non-coding RNA of Rosa rugosa (rugosa rose), 1448 nucleotides long. RefSeq lists it as uncharacterized. The record is from RefSeq and is a predicted model, not a curated record. The transcript is spliced from 2 exons. NCBI's taxonomy places the organism in Eukaryota, Viridiplantae, Streptophyta, Magnoliopsida, Rosales, Rosaceae.
ACUAUAUUGAAGAAAUGAGAAUCAUAGGUGACUUGGUUUAACUCUUUAUUACAUAAGUAAGUACUUACAAGAGAAACAAAAGUAAGCUUAGGAAACAAGCUUUAUUGUACAAAGAUAAACCAAAACAGUAAACUAAAAAUUUAUUUCUCCUUCUCCUACUCCCAGAUUUCCAGAAAUUAAAUUCUAACCCUCAAGAGCAUGAUCUGCACAAUAUCAUAAAAGGGGUGAGCUUAAAGCUCAGUAGAGCAAACCUCAUACAUAUAAUUAAUGAUGAUGCAAGACAAAAAAUAACUCCUUAUACUCCAGUUGUUAGUAAUCUUGUACUAAUCUCGGUCACCAGUGUCUUCUUGCCAAACAUUAGAUCGUUUUAUCAAUAUAUAUUGAAGGGGCUUCUCUCCCCAAGUGUAUAUACCAUUGGCUGACAUUGCUGGUCCCUUACGAGUAUUAGACUCAACUACACAACCAUUUUCACUCUCUCUUCAAGCUAGGAUCACAUAAAACAACAUGAUAAUGAACUAAACAUAUAUUUUACACAAUAUAAACAAUCUGAUCAGUAGCAAAUGUCACUCAAAAUCAUAUCAAUAGACUGAUAUAAUCAAACUUGAGGUUCCCCAAAACUUCCCCUACCUUAAAGCUGGUUUAGUAAAGCUGAGGCUUUGUUUCCAGACCUCUCAAAACUUGUUUUCUGGACUUUGCUGACUCUAGAGUCUCUAAAUUAUUUUCUGCUAUGUUUUCUAACUUGUGUUUCUUACUGCAGGUAAAGGCCUUUUUAUACUAGAAGAUGUAAUCAUGAGAACCUAUAUGUAGACUAGCCACCUCCUGUUUAGCUCAGUCAGUUAGAUAAACAUUGGGAGCAGCUUAUUGCCAGCUCCUGCUUAGAAAAAACAUCUGAAGGUUAUCCCAAACUGCCAGCUCCUGCUUUGAGCUUGUUGCCCAAGUUUUAAGCUGCUCUAAGAGCAGCCACUUGCUGCACACACUUAACUUUAUGUCUGCAGGUUCUUAAUUGUGGUUAGAAGUGUGUACACAUGUGUUUCCAAUAAGCUACUAGGUUUUAAAAGCACUUCCAGCUAAAGAAAAAAAAUCAAGAAGAAGGAGCAUAAUAAGCUAAGCAUUUGCUGGAAAUUUUGGUACAUUUGCAAGAAGUAAUGGCAGCAAAUCAAGGAAACUAUAAGUACAAAACAUAAAUAAGAAAUUGAUGUAAUGUGACAUUUGGAAAGAUGUAUUAAUGUAAAAAUAGUACUUGUAGCUAUCUAUGUAAUCUUCUUGAAAACAUGCACAAUCUGUACUAUUUUUUCUUUUCUUUUUCUUUUUGACAAAGAAUGUAAACAGGUAAAUGUUUGCUUUUGUUUGUAAGAAACACUUGUGUUCUACUCUAGCAUUUUGUUAACAAAAGCUAGUUGGUUUUUGAGUUAUAAAAACAAAAUCAGCAGGGAUCAAGUAAUUCAUCA